UGGGCAACCUGCCCCUAGCUCUGGGAUAACUGCGGGAAACUGUAGCUAAUACCGGAUGUGACACGAGACUGCAUGGUCUUCGUGUGGAAAGAUUUAUCGGCUAGGGAUGGGCCCGCGGUCUAUCAGCUUGUUGGUGGGGUAAUGGCUCACCAAGGCGACGACGGAUAACCGGCCUGAGAGGGCGACCGGUCACACUGGGACUGAGACACGGCCCAGACUCCGUACGGGGGCAG
This 233-nucleotide ribosomal RNA is filed under the name uncultured bacterium. RNAcentral's name for it is "partial 16S ribosomal RNA". It matches the Rfam family "Bacterial small subunit ribosomal RNA", at positions 118 to 351 of the family's 1533-position model. The record is from RNAcentral.